UACGUAGGGGGCGAGCGUUAUUCGGAAUUACUGGGCGUAAAGCGUGCGCAGGCGGUGAUGUAAGUCCGAUGUGAAAUCCCCGGGCUUAACCUGGGAACUGCAUUGGUGACUGCAUCGCUCGAGUAUGGCAGAGGGGGGUAGAAUUCCACGUGUAGCAGUGAAAUGCGUAGAGAUGUGGAGGAAUACCGAUGGCGAAGGCAGCACCCUGGGUCAAUACUGACGCUGAUGCGCGAAAGCGUGGGGAGCAAACAGG
This 253-nucleotide ribosomal RNA is filed under the name uncultured bacterium. RNAcentral describes it as "partial 16S ribosomal RNA". It matches the Rfam family "Bacterial small subunit ribosomal RNA", at positions 524 to 776 of the family's 1533-position model. The record is from RNAcentral.